Molecule: long non-coding RNA, 246 nt
Filed under: Mytilus galloprovincialis (Mediterranean mussel)
Lineage: Eukaryota; Metazoa; Mollusca; Bivalvia; Mytilida; Mytilidae
Source: RNAcentral
UGUGUAUUCCACAUGUCAUGUGUUCCUUUAAUUUUGCAUUUGUCGUGUCAGAAAUGCGACUAUGCUUGACAUUUGAAGAGAGCGUGUCUCCUUCCAUGCAUGUAUCAACAGCCAUGUAAAUUCACAAUCAGACAAAGUGACAUAAGUGGAGAAAGGAAACAAUUGAUGAUAUUACAAACCAGACGUCUUUAAUAACAUCUAAAGAUAUAAGACCGCGAAAACAUGUCACUAAUGAGUUGCGAAACC